UCUUCAAACCUGAUUCUCUCAUAUCAAGAUAAACCCAAAUUCAUUAAAAAAACAUAUGAACAAGUUUUGUGACUAACAACAUGUAAACCCAGAUCCAUAAAAAAACAUAUGAUAAGUUUUGUGACUGACAGCAUCUUGUCUAAUCAAAUCACUGGCCCAUUUGGUAAAUAUCAAAGAAAAUAAUCUACAAAAAUCAAGUAAUCUAAAAUCACAAAUUAUCAUAAGCGUGCUGAACCACUAUCUCCUCUAGCAAAUUGCCUUCCCCAAUUGAUGAAGAACUUUACGCCCAAGAUCACAAUUGUUACUCUAGUUGUCUUCCAAAGUAUGUUUGUUCAAUUUUGCAUUCAUUGAACGCCUCCCUCUUUUCAUGAUAUCAACAAAAAAAAAAAUAAUCCCUGAAAGUUGUUUCAAAACGUUUACAUCAACAAAAAAAUAUUGGUGGCCGAAAAUCUCGAAGAUCUUGAAUCUCGCCGGAGUUUCUUCCCGUUCAACGUUGAAAUCUGGCCGGAGUUUCUUCCUUCCCCUAUUGUUCAGAGAUAUAGACAUAUCUAUAUAUCUCAAAAACAAUUCCAGAUUUGCACAGGGUGGUGGCUACGACUAGGAGAAGAAUGACGGCGGUGGUCAGGGAGAGAGUGGCUGUGGUGGUUUGAUGGAGAAGUUAGAGAAAAUUUAUGAUCACAUCCUUUAAUCUAGUAAGAUUUCUGAUCUGAUUCUGACACGAACUUAGAGAAGAUAGAUAGAUGAUUGUCAUCAAGUUUAGAAAAAGUAUUGAAUGGAGGAGGUGGUUGUUGUAUUUGAUUUGUUUAACAGAUCAGGUAAUGAGCAAUGUUUCAAUAUUUGAUUUCAUAAUCUAGAGAAGAUGUGUAUAUAAUUGUAGUUAAUGAUUGAUAUUUGCGUAAAAUUGUAAAAAUUUGUAAAUGAAUAUGGGUUUAUUUUGAAUUUGGGUUUAUUUUAUAAAAA
Long non-coding RNA from Erigeron canadensis, 960 nucleotides. RefSeq lists it as uncharacterized. The record is from RefSeq and is a predicted model, not a curated record. Lineage: Eukaryota; Viridiplantae; Streptophyta; Magnoliopsida; Asterales; Asteraceae. The transcript has 2 exons.